This 419-nucleotide unclassified non-coding RNA is filed under the name Cercozoa sp. RNAcentral's name for it is "partial contains small subunit ribosomal RNA, internal transcribed spacer 1, and 5.8S ribosomal RNA". The stretch from base 1 to 47 matches the Rfam family "Eukaryotic small subunit ribosomal RNA", at positions 1785 to 1831 of the family's 1831-position model. The record is from RNAcentral. Lineage: Eukaryota; Cercozoa.
AAAGUCGUAACAAGGUUUCCGUAGGUGAACCUGCGGAAGGAUCAUUAUCAAACGUAUCCACGUAUAAACCAAUUUUAUUAAUGUGAAACAAUGUAACCUUUGAUGGAUCAGAUGAUUGCUGUAUUACUCUUGCACCCUUGAUUAAAGCAGGAGAGUAGUAUGGACCUGGAUUAGGCGUAACAGCUUAGUUCUAGCUCUGAUUUAUUGAAGUGUAAUUAAUACUUAAUUUAAUCAAAUUAUUAACCCAUUGAACCGAUUAACUAUUUUUAUUAAUAGUUGGUCAUUAAAAUUCUAUUGUGUGAACUGAAUUGUCUCUUACUCUUUGAAAGUCUGUAACAGGACUGAUAGGAGAAGCGAUUAUUUUACGAAACAUUAUAAAUUUCUAUGAACAACUCUUAGCAACGGAUAUCUUGGUUCUC